UACGUAGGUGGCAAGCGUUGUCCGGAUUUACUGGGCGUAAAGGGCGUGCAGGCGGUUUGUUAAGUGCAGGGUGAAAGCUCCCGGCUCAACUGGGAGAGGUCCUUGCAUACUGGCAGACUUGAGGGAGGCAGAGGAAAGUGGAAUUCCCGGUGUAGUGGUGAUAUGCGUAGAUAUCGGGAGGAACACCUGUGGCGAAGGCGGCUUUCUGGGCCUUACCUGACGCUGAGACGCGAAAGCGUGGGGAGCAAACAGG
Molecule: ribosomal RNA, 253 nt
Filed under: uncultured bacterium
Lineage: Bacteria
Description: partial 16S ribosomal RNA
Rfam family: Bacterial small subunit ribosomal RNA
Source: RNAcentral